AAUCUGCCUUGUUGUGGGGGAUAACGUAGGGAAACUUACGCUAAUACCGCAUAAGACCUUAGGGUGAAAGCGGAGGACCUUCGGGCUUCGCGCGACAAGAUGAGCCGAUGUCGGAUUAGCUAGUUGGCGGGGUAAAGGCCCGCCAAGGCGACGAUCCGUAGCUGGUCUGAGAGGAUGAUCAGCCACACUGGAACUGAGACACGGUCCAGACUCCUACGGGAGGCAGCAGUGGGGAAUAUUGGACAAUGGGCGCAAGCCUGAUCCAGCCAUGCCGCGUGUGU
Molecule: ribosomal RNA, 281 nt
Filed under: uncultured bacterium
Lineage: Bacteria
Description: partial 16S ribosomal RNA
Rfam family: Bacterial small subunit ribosomal RNA
Source: RNAcentral